GUGGGGAAUCUUGCGCAAUGGGCGAAAGCCUGACGCAGCCAUGCCGCGUGAAUGAUGAAGGUCUUAGGAUUGUAAAAUUCUUUCACCGGGGACGAUAAUGACGGUACCCGGAGAAGAAGCUCCGGCUAACUUCGUGCCAGCAGCCGCGGUAAUACGAAGGGGGCUAGCGUUGCUCGGAAUUACUGGGCGUAAAGGGCGCGUAGGCGGACAGCUUAGUCAGAGGUGAAAGCCCAGGGCUCAACCUUGGAAUUGCCUUUGAUACUGGCUGGCUAGAGUUUGGGAGAGGUGAGUGGAACUCCGAGUGUAGAGGUGAAAUUCGUAGAUAUUCGGAAGAACACCAGUGGCGAAGGCGACUCACUGGCCCAAUACUGACGCUGAGGCGCGAAAGCGUGGGGAGCAAACAGGAUUAGAAACCCGGGUAGUCC
Molecule: ribosomal RNA, 425 nt
Filed under: uncultured bacterium
Lineage: Bacteria
Description: partial 16S ribosomal RNA
Rfam family: Bacterial small subunit ribosomal RNA
Source: RNAcentral